RNAcentral lists this RNase P RNA (369 nucleotides) under Cytophagaceae bacterium. RNAcentral describes it as "RNase P RNA component class A". It matches the Rfam family "Bacterial RNase P class A". From Rfam's summary of the family: Ribonuclease P (RNase P) is a ubiquitous endoribonuclease, found in archaea, bacteria and eukarya as well as chloroplasts and mitochondria. Its best characterised activity is the generation of mature 5'-ends of tRNAs by cleaving the 5'-leader elements of precursor-tRNAs. Lineage: Bacteria; Pseudomonadati; Bacteroidota; Cytophagia; Cytophagales; Cytophagaceae. The record is from RNAcentral.
ACAGCAAGCCGGUCUGUCGCUCCAUUUGCUUGAUGGAGAGGAAAGUCCGGACAACGCAGAGCACCGUGCUUCCUAACGGGAAGAUAUUCGCGAGGGUAUUUCAGUGUAACAGAAAAUAACCGCCUCAGGGUAAGGGUGAAAAGGUAAGGCAAGAGCUUACCGGUAUUGCGGGCAACUGCAGUAGCCGUACACAACACGGGUUGCAAGACCAUGUAAACCUCAAUUCCGUUUUCGGUACAGGGCUGCUCGUCCUGACGCUUGCCGGUUGAGGAGGGUAGGUCGCUAAAGGUUAUGGGUAACCGUCGCUACAGAUAAAUGACAGACAUCGUUUCGGCGAUACAGAAUCCGGCUUACAGGCUUGCUGUUUUU